GACAACAGAGGACUGAGACAGAUUCAUAGUUAUAUGGACUUGAUCUCAGGACAAAAAUAUUUAAACAAUAACAAUAAAACAACAAAAAUAGCCGUUAAAGAUUCCAUGGUUGCUACGGCUGUCUCUAGGUAAGUCAAGUGUAUAAGAUCAGAAUUUAAACAAAAACAACUUCUCAGACAGUCAAAAAAAUAUCUUUCUGAACUUUCACUCGACGAUUUCUCAGAAAUUAUCUCUUCAUCUCUGAACUUUUUGCAUCCUGUCAAGAGUUAAAGACCCAAAGUGAAAAGUUACAGCGAGAAAAGUGACUUCCAUCAUGGAAAAUGCACAAUGUCCAGGGGCCUGCUGUGACCAUUGGAUGGCUCCACCUUGGACAUGUUCUCCGUGUCCUCUGUGUGACCAAAAGCUUCCUGCUGCUCUACGACUGUACGGCCACAGGUCACUGCUCAGAUUGUAGUCUUUUUACUCUGAAGGCUCCAUCCUGUCUUUUCUCAUCAAUCUCAAAUAUGCUGGUUAAAUGGAAUGUGUGAAAGCAUCUGGUUUAAGGUCUCCUGGCAGGAGAAGUUAAAAUUUAGUCAACAGCAGAGCAGACAUCGCAGGGGCUCACUCACAGGGUUUUGUUAAUGAUUAAUAUUAGACCAGAUAGCAUAUAUUUCAUUACAAUGGCUGUAUCACAUAUUUAAUUGGACCUCAUGUUUAGAAAAUCAAACUUCCGGUUAUACAGCAUUUGGAUGGAUGGGUGAUCAGAUGAAUACACCUCAACUUUACCCCCAAUUUUAGGUUUCUGCUAAAUUAAAUGAUCGACUGUGACAUAUAUACAAAUAUUUACUUUUUUUUCAGUAGGUGUCAUUGUCAGGUUAGAGAUAUCCUUUAGAAAGUAAAAAGUUUCUUAACAUUAAGCCACUAAUGAC
Long non-coding RNA from Centropristis striata (black sea bass), 908 nucleotides. RefSeq lists it as uncharacterized. The record is from RefSeq and is a predicted model, not a curated record. The transcript has 3 exons. NCBI's taxonomy places the organism in Eukaryota, Metazoa, Chordata, Actinopteri, Perciformes, Serranidae.